RNAcentral lists this ribosomal RNA (274 nucleotides) under uncultured bacterium. RNAcentral's name for it is "partial 16S ribosomal RNA". It matches the Rfam family "Bacterial small subunit ribosomal RNA", at positions 523 to 796 of the family's 1533-position model. The record is from RNAcentral.
AUACGGAGGGAGCGAGCGUUAAUCGGAAUUACUGGGCGUAAAGCGCGCGUAGGCGGCUUUGUAAGUCGGAUGUGAAAGCCCUGGGCUCAACCUGGGAAUGGCAUUCGAUACUGCAUAACUAGAGUAUGGUAGAGGGAAGUGGAGUUUCCGGUGUAGCGGUGAAAUGCGUAGAUAUCGGAAGGAACACCAGUGGCGAAGGCGACUUCCUGGGCCAAUACUGACGCUGAGGUGCGAAAGCGUGGGGAGCAAACAGGAUUAGAUACCCGGGUAGUCC